Molecule: long non-coding RNA, 644 nt
Filed under: Trifolium pratense (red clover)
Lineage: Eukaryota; Viridiplantae; Streptophyta; Magnoliopsida; Fabales; Fabaceae
Description: long non-coding RNA (TPRA_LNC009904)
Source: RNAcentral
AUAAAUGUUGAUACUUUAGGUCUUGAACUGAACCUGUUAAAUUCUCAUGAACCAUGGUUAUUUUUGUGGUUGCAACACUCUUCUUAAAUUGGUUCUUAACCUUGUUCAAUGUUUGGAAUUUCUCUGGAUAAGAUUGCAUUAUUCUCACUAAUCACAUACUUGUUAAGUAGGAAUUGGGCUAAACGCAAAAUGGUUUAGGUCGUGAUAGUUAUGGACUUAUCGCAUCUUUAGGAACAUGAUCAGUACUGUUUUUCUAAGGAUAAGAUCAUGAAAUCUGAAUUGUUGUCCCUAUGAUUGUUUACUUGUAGAUGUUUUGAAAAUUAAAACGUAAAGCUCUUGUGUAUUCAUGUGUUAAUCCAUUUUAAAUUCUCUUAAGGAUUUAAACACAAGGUUAUUAUCCUUCCUCAUUCAUGAGAACUCAUUUGGCUUUUGUGUUUUAAUCUCUUAAGUGUAACACAAUGAACCUUUGUGGACUCUCUACAUUCUAAUAUUAACACAGGGCUGCCCUUUUGAAACUUUGUUGUUGUAUAGAUUCAAGAUUCUUGGUUUUGAAUUACUCACUAAUUCAUGUGACGGUAGUGCCCUGUGUUGGUUAUUUUGGGACAUAGUGUUUACAAAUGCAAAAGACAUAACUUGUUAAAGCU